RNAcentral lists this transfer RNA (72 nucleotides) under Marmota monax (woodchuck). Its description in RNAcentral is "tRNA.Ala". Lineage: Eukaryota; Metazoa; Chordata; Mammalia; Rodentia; Sciuridae. The record is from RNAcentral.
UGGGGUGUGGCUCAAUGGCAGAGCAUUUGCCUAGCAUAAACACAGCCCUGUGUUGGAUCCCCAGCACCACAA